This 265-nucleotide ribosomal RNA is filed under the name uncultured bacterium. RNAcentral describes it as "partial small subunit ribosomal RNA". It matches the Rfam family "Bacterial small subunit ribosomal RNA", at positions 26 to 285 of the family's 1533-position model. The record is from RNAcentral.
AGGAUUAACGCUGGCGGCGUGCAUGAGACAUGCAAGUCGAACGGACACUCAGGGCUUGCUCUGAGUGUUAGUGGCGGACGGCUGAGUAACGCGUAGGUGACCUGCCCCGAAGUGGGGAAUAACUGCCCGAAAGGGUGGCUAAUACCGCAUGUGGUGAUGCGUUCAUUUCGCAUCAGUAAAAGCCGCAAGGCGUCGUUUGGGAGGGGCCUGCGUCCGAUUAGCUCGUUGGUGAGGUAACGGCUCAACCGAAGGCCGACGACGGGUA